This 3469-nucleotide long non-coding RNA is filed under the name Canis lupus familiaris (dog). Its description in RNAcentral is "lncRNA (ENSCAFG00000057281.1, ENSCAFG00845016240.1)". The record is from RNAcentral. Lineage: Eukaryota; Metazoa; Chordata; Mammalia; Carnivora; Canidae.
UAAUAUCUAAUUUAUUGAGCUACACAUGCAUAUUUAAAAUAACAUUAUAUACAAUAAUACAUUAAUACAAAAUACUGCUUCCCCCCCCCCAUUCUUACAUGUCAAGUAACAAUUUUAUUCAAAGUCUACAUGCAUCUUGGACAUUGUCUUCAUUGUAUCCAGAGCCAUGGUUUCUUCAAGUGUAUAUCCUUCAAUUGCAUCUAAGUUGUUUGAAAUACAGCAUUUUAAAAUACUUGUCUGACACUGUCAUUGAUAAGUUUGAUCCAAGUUGUCACAUUAGGACAGUUUGCCCCCUACUCCCAACUUAUCAUGUAGGUGCAGGUUUAUAAUCCUUACAACAAAAGUAUUCACUUAUUGCUCUUGAAGUUGCUCUUUGAAAGGCUGGUUUACAAAACCUAACUCUUGUAAUAAUGAGAGUAUACCUACCCCCUGGAAUAAUUACUAAGUUUCUUCCCACUCCUCUUUUUCACCCAUCCCAGCAGGAGUCUAUAACUGUACUUGCAUCGUUUGAGGUUAUGGUGGGCUAAAAUGUGAGGAGCGACCAGAGGUAGAGCAGUUGCAGGAGAUGACAAGAUCUAGUUAUGGAUGUGAUUGAAGAGAACAAAGGCAGCCAAAGAGCUCUAAGCUGGGUUGCUGGGUGGAUCACCACCAUGGAUCAGUGAAGUUUCUUGGAGUGGGAAUGAAGUAGUCUUUGAUGAAGCAUCAAAGACUUGGAGAUAGCUGGGAGUGUCUUGGAGCCAGGCAGGCGGCAGAGAUGAGAGGACAGCCUCUCCAUGUAGCAAGGGAGGAUGUGGAGCAAGGGUACAGAAAUAGCAUCGGGCCAGCAGUGGCCAGUCAUGGACAAUGCCAAUAUGAAGUCCUGGUCCAGUUGUAGGGGUGGGGGGAGGGAGAGGAGCGGCCUGCAUGUGUCAGGACUGGGAAGAAAUGUUAUCUUGAGGAAAGAGACAUGCAGAAUGGACAUGCUCUGGAGGAAGACUGAGAUGAUUGGGAAGUCUGUGGCUCACAAAGAGGGGUCCACCUAGACGGCCCCUAACAGGUUCCUCGGGCUCUCCCACCACACUUGUCGCAUGAACUGUCAUUGUUUUCUAGAUUGUAAGGAGAGUGGGCAGUAUGUGCAUUCUGGGUACUGCUAUAUUCACAGCAACUAGAAGAGGCAUAUAAAUCUUCAGGAAGCAUAUGCUGAAGGAAUAAACAGGGAGAGUGGAGAUUAGGAGGGGAAGAAAGGAAGAACCAGGUCCUAUGGGAGGGACUUGAAAAGGACAGCAAAGGAGAGAUGGGUCAGGAAAGGCAUGAUCAAGACUUCAGAGGGCAGUUGGCAUCAAGGACCUGGGGGACUGGAAAGAAAUGGACCAGAGAUUGCACAAGAGAUUCCACUGGGACCUUCAGUGUGACCACAACAGCCUAAAGUCGCAGCCCAGGAGGAACUUGGCAGGUGCACUUCCUGGCAAAGGCAUGAGGCAUGGGGACAAGUGGCAGAGGAGAUCAUGGGGCUGAGACUAGACUGUGGCUUCUCUUAAGCCUUACCCUAGGAGAAGAGAUUUGCCUCCAUGGUCUCAGACUUGCUCAGUGACUGAGACAGUGGGGUGCUGUUUGGGUGUUUUUGGCUUUAACAUCUGAAUACGAAUAAAGGAUCUAUGUGUUUGUUGUGGUGACUCACAAGUAAUACGCCUCAAACUCCACUUCUGUGUAGCAUGGGCAUUUCCAAUAAAAGGGAAUGAAUAAUAUUCAGUUCCCAGUUUACAGGAAGAUUUAAAGGCAGUGAUUCUCAAAAGUCUGAUCUCAGGAGCAGCAGUAGCAUCACCUGGAAAUGUGUUACAAAUGGGAAUUCUCAGCCCUUACCCCAGACCAACUAAAACAGAAACAGGGUUAGGCCCAGAAAUCCACGUUUUAACAAGUUCUCCAGUAGAUCCUGAAGCAUGUGAAAGUUUAAGAACUACCACAGGUCACGGAUGGAUUGUUUUAAAGCCACAAUCCCCUCUUCCAGAAACCUUCAGCAUCUGCUAUACCAGUUUUUUUUUUUUUUAAGAUUUUAUUUAUUCAUAGAGACACAGAGAGAGAGAGGCAGAGACACAGGCAGAGGGAAAAGCAGGCUCCAUGUAGGGAGCCUGACAUGGGACUCGAUCCCUUGUCUCCAGGAUCACACCCCAGGCUGCAGGUGGCGCUAAACUGCUGUGCCACGGGGGCUGCCCUAUACCAGUUUUUAGUGAGAACAAACAAGCAGCACAAUGAGAGAAGAGCUAAGGAAGAUCUACAACAGAACGGAGUAGUGGGGAAGAGGGCAGGGUCAGUGCCUGGAUUGGUUUCCUUGGCCUCUGAAGCCUCAGCCUCCCUCCCACGAGGGGAAAGCAGGUACUUACCUUACCAGUGGUUGGCACGGUGUUACGUAUUCAGUUAUGCUGUUUAUUGUCAUUAUCAUUAAAGCAGAACUCAGAGCUGAUAACCUCAUGGAAUCAGCUCAAUAGCUAGCUAGGUUCUUCCAAGGCCGGGAUUUGGUAUCACGUGUGUGUGAUAACUACACUAGCCUUCUUGUUUCUGGUUUCUAAGAAUUCACAUUUCCCAAAGCUCUGCAGAACCCCAGGGGGCUGAGACUGAUCCUCUGGCCUCUUCUAAGCCUACCCUACUCAGACUUGAUGGCCUCAGACAUCAAGGGGCCCACCCCCUGCUGUCAGAUAGGUGUUCAACACCUGAGCAUGUCUAGUCCUUCAGGGAAUAAAUGGAAUGGCACAGCAACUGGUCCACGAGGGGCAGGUGCUCUCAGAAGAGCGACCCCUCCUUAGGCCACUUCUACCCCAUGGGUCAGGAAAGCCUAGUGACCUCUUGCAAAGCUUUGUAAGGAAAAGAUGUUAAAUCAUAGGCUCAAGAGGCUAUCUUGAGUCAAAAAAAUACCAGCACACACUAUAGAUGGAGCUUCCAAUGUCUAUCUCCUCCUCAGAACAGAAGCUCCAGGGGGCUCAGAACUUUCUUUUAUUCCUGUAACAUUGCACUAUAAACAGAGCCUGGCACUUAGUAGGCAUUAAAAUACUUUGGAAUUGGCAAACAUUUGCUUAAUCAGUGGCUUUGUCAUUAGAAGGAACAAUGGUUGAUUUCUGUCAAGAAGAGGAAACCGAGGGUCUGGGUGGAGCCCCCUGGGUUGUGGCGAGCCCGCUAGGCUGGGCCCGUGGCUCAGAGCUACACAGUGUGGAGGCCCAUGGCACUGUUUAGCUGGGGCUUUUCCACAAGGUGCGUGGUGCGCAGGACUCUUACUGCAAUGCAGGCAGAGGCCAGCAGGGGAUCAUUUGGGAGGAGCCUCAAGGCACAUUCAAGAUGAGGGACUCAAAUACCCGAAGUCCAGUCCAGUCCGGGGAAACAACAGUCACCACAAUCCUCUUAUUUGCUCCUUGGCAAUUCCCAGCUCUCUCUGAGCUGAACUUAAGCCCACCCUUUCUAGCACCUUGCCUGCGCACCACAGGCCUUGACAGUUGCCCCAGCC